Molecule: ribosomal RNA, 439 nt
Filed under: uncultured bacterium
Lineage: Bacteria
Description: partial 16S ribosomal RNA
Rfam family: Bacterial small subunit ribosomal RNA
Source: RNAcentral
CUACGGGCGGCUGCAGUGAGGAAUAUUGCACAAUGGGGGGAACCCUGAUGCAGCAACGCCGCGUGGAGGAUGACGCAUUUCGGUGUGUAAACUCCUUUUAUAUGUCAAGAAAAUGACGGUAGCAUAUGAAUAAGCACCGGCUAACUCCGUGCCAGCAGCCGCGGUAAUACGGAGGGUGCAAGCGUUACUCGGAAUCACUGGGCGUAAAGGACGCGUAGGCGGGUUGGAAAGUCAGGUGUGAAAUCCUACAGCUUAACUGUAGAACUGCACUUGAAACUUCUAAUAUAGAGUAUGGGAGGGGGAGAUGGAAUUAGUGGUGUAGGGGUAAAAUCCGUAGAUAUCACUAGGAAUACCUAAAGCGAAGGCGAUCUCCUGGAACAUUACUGACGCUAAGGCGUGAAAGCGUGGGGAGCAAACAGGAUUAGAUACCCGGGUAGUC